UUUCAACCUGUUAGGAACUUCUAAGGACAGAUUCUAUUAGGAUAACAUACAUACCAGAGUCAAAUAGAGGAUUUCAAACAAUUAGCAAGAAUGGGAGAUUACAAGACGAUUGCCUUGGUCUUAAUGUUAAUCAUUACAGGAUUUAAAAGGAUCAGUGCAGCAG
Molecule: long non-coding RNA, 163 nt
Organism: Strongylocentrotus purpuratus (purple sea urchin)
Lineage: Eukaryota; Metazoa; Echinodermata; Echinoidea; Camarodonta; Strongylocentrotidae
Exons: 3
Source: RefSeq, a predicted model, not a curated record